Molecule: ribosomal RNA, 617 nt
Filed under: haloarchaeon STR21
Lineage: Archaea; Methanobacteriati; Methanobacteriota; Halobacteria; Halobacteriales
Description: bacterial SSU rRNA
Rfam family: Archaeal small subunit ribosomal RNA
Source: RNAcentral
UCUGGCGCCAUAGGAUGUGGCUGCGGCCGAUUAGGUAGACGGUGGGGUAACGGCCCACCGUGCCAGUAAUCGGUACGGGUGAUGAGAGUCAGAGCCCGGGAGACGGUAUCUGAGACAAGAUACCGGGCCCUACGGGGCGCAGCAGGCGCGAAACCUUUACACUGCACGACAGUGCGAUAGGGGGACUCCGAGUGCGAGGGCAUACAGUCCUCGCUUUUGUGCACCGUAAGGUGGUGCAGGAACAAGUGCUGGGCAAGACCGGUGCCAGCCGCCGCGGUAAUACCGGCAGCACGAGUGAUGGCCGAUAUUAUUGGGCCUAAAGCGUUCGUAGCCGGCCAGACAAGUCUGUUGGGAAAUCCACGCGCCCAACGCGUGGGCGUCCAGCGGAAACUGUCUGGCUUGGGGCCGGAAGACUCGAGGGGUACGUCCGGGGUAGGAGUGAAAUCCCGUAAUCCUGGACGGACCACCGGUGGCGAAAGCGCCUCGAGAGCACGGACCCGACGGUGAGGAACGAAAGCCAGGGUCUCGAACCGGAUAGAUACCCGGGUAGUCCUGGCCGUAAACGAGCCCGCUAGGUAUGGCGCAGGCUACGAGCCUGCGCUAUGCCGCUAGGGAAG